GACGAACGCUGGCGGCGUGCUUAACACAUGCAAGUCGAACGGAAAGGCCCUGCUUUUGUGGGGUGCUCGAGUGGCGAACGGGUGAGUAACACGUGAGUAACCUGCCCUUGACUUUGGGAUAACUUCAGGAAACUGGGGCUACUACCGGCUAGGAGCUCCUGCUGCAUGGUGGGGGUUGGAAAGUUUAGGCGGUUGGGGAUGGACUCGCGGCUUAUCAGCUUGUCGGUGGGGUAGUGGCUUACCAAGGCUUUGACUGGUAGCCGGCCUGAGAGGGGGAACAGGGACAUGGGUACUGAGAGACGGACCAGAGUCGAACGUUAGGCAACAGUGGGGAGCAUGAUACAGUGAGCGGGCGUGUGAUGCGACAACGCCGGGUUCGUGAAGACGGCUUUGGGGUUGGGAACCGCUGUCGGCUGAGACGAAGCGGUAGUGACGGUAAUGGGAGAAGAAGCACCGGCUAACUACGUG
RNAcentral lists this ribosomal RNA (468 nucleotides) under uncultured bacterium. RNAcentral's name for it is "partial 16S ribosomal RNA". It matches the Rfam family "Bacterial small subunit ribosomal RNA", at positions 28 to 507 of the family's 1533-position model. The record is from RNAcentral.